GAUCAUGGCUCAGAUUGAACGCUGGCGGCGUGCUUAACACGAUGCAAGUCGCGCGUGAAAGGACUUCGGUCCGAGUAAAGCGGCGCACGGGUGAGUAACGCGUGGAUGAUCUACCCAUGAGUUAGGAAUAACGGCUGGAAACGGUCGCUAAUACCAAAUACGCUCCGAUUUCAACUUCGGGGGAAAGGUGGCCUCUGCUUGCAAGCUACUGCUCAUGGAUGAGUCCGCGUCCCAUUAGCUAGUUGGUGGGGUAACGGCCCACCAAGGCGACGAUGGGUAGCCGGUCUGAGAGGAUGACCGGCCACACUGGGACUGGAACACGGCCCAGACUCCUACGGGAGGCAGCAGUGGGGAAUAUUGCGCAAUGGGCGAAAGCCUGACGCAGCGACGCCGCGUGAGGGGAAUGAAGGUCCUCGGAUCGUAAACCUCUGUCAGGAGGGAAGAACCGCCACGGUGCUAAUCAGCCGUGGUCUGACGGUACCUCCAAAGGAAGCACCGGCUAACUCCGUGCCAGCAGCUGC
RNAcentral lists this ribosomal RNA (521 nucleotides) under uncultured bacterium. RNAcentral describes it as "bacterial SSU rRNA". It matches the Rfam family "Bacterial small subunit ribosomal RNA", at positions 15 to 518 of the family's 1533-position model. The record is from RNAcentral.